UCAGCAGCUACAUCAUUGCCGUUUCCUGUAUUUUGUCAUUUGGUCACUGGAGUGACUGGAGCAUGGAGACAACUGGGACAACACUGGAAAGUGCACCCUCUAGACCGCCAGAUAUCUGUUAUCAUAUGGAGACGGUGAACAAACAAGGACCUCAUCACCUUAUGCUUAUGUGGAAGGCCCUUGAUGUUUAUGAUGCUCACGGACAUAUUCUUGGGUACCAAGUGAGCUACACACAAACAAAGCACCCCUUUCUGAGUGUGACCACUAACACCACAGAUCUGAAGGUGGUCCUUGUGGUGACCGAGGAUGAGUUGGAGGUCACAGUUAUGGCAUACAACAGCGCUGGUGGAUCUCCUUACUCUCAUCUAAAGAUUGACCUGAGUCUUCAUCAGAGUGAGUUAAAUGUCUAUUUCCAUGAAUAGAUAGUGAUUACAGAGGUGUUUGACUUUUUUAUUUUAAGGGGUGAUAAUCUCAACACCCAGAUCCAAAUCUCUGCGCUAGUCGAAUAACCGCUUGUCACGAGGCUAAAUGCGUGGUAAAUGGUAAUGUAAUGUACUUCUG
Molecule: long non-coding RNA, 561 nt
Organism: Oncorhynchus masou masou (cherry salmon)
Lineage: Eukaryota; Metazoa; Chordata; Actinopteri; Salmoniformes; Salmonidae
Exons: 3
Source: RefSeq, a predicted model, not a curated record